AUGCAGGCGCAGCUUAACAUGCAAGUCGAACGGUAACAGGGAGCUUGCUCCGCUGACGAGUGGCGAACGGGUGAGUAAUACAUCGGAACGUGCCCAGUAAUGGGGGAUAGCUCGGCGAAAGCCGGAUUAAUACCGCAUACGCCCUGAGGGGGAAAGUGGGGGACCGCAAGGCCUCACGUUAUUGGAGCGGCCGAUGGCUGAUUAGCUAGUUGGUAGGGUAAAGGCCUACCAAGGCGACGAUCAGUAGCUGGUCUGAGAGGACGAUCAGCCACACUGGGACUGAGACACGGCCCAGACUCCUACGGGAGGCAGCAGUGGGGAAUUUUGGACAAUGGGGGAAACCCUGAUCCAGCAAUGCCGCGUGUGCGAAGAAGGCCUUCGGGUUGUAAAGCACUUUUGUCAGGGAAGAAAUCCUUUGGGCUAAUACCCUAGGGGGAUGACGGUACCUGAAGAAUAAGCACCGGCUAACUACGUGCCAGCAGCCGCGGUAAUACGUAGGGUGCAAGCGUUAAUCGGAAUUACUGGGCGUAAAGCGUGCGCAGGCGGUUGUGUAAGACAGGUGUGAAAUCCCCGGGCUUAACCUGGGAAUUGCAUUUGUGACUGCACGACU
This 610-nucleotide ribosomal RNA is filed under the name Limnobacter sp. RNAcentral's name for it is "bacterial SSU rRNA". It matches the Rfam family "Bacterial small subunit ribosomal RNA", at positions 33 to 642 of the family's 1533-position model. Lineage: Bacteria; Pseudomonadati; Pseudomonadota; Betaproteobacteria; Burkholderiales; Burkholderiaceae. The record is from RNAcentral.